UCUUAAAGACUGGACUUCAUCUCUGGCUUUUUGGUCAUCCUUCUCCUUCUGGUCUGAUUUUCUUUGGAGGUCAUCUUUCAUUCUCUUUACCUCAUCCCUCAUCUCCUUUGCCUCACCUUUCAUCUCCUUUGCCUCACCUUUCAUCUUCUUUGCCUCAUCUUUAAUCUCCUUUUCCUCAUUUUCAAGCUGAUUGAUUUUGGCUUUCAAGACACUAUUUUCUGUUUCCAGAUGACUUAUCUUAGUUUUCAAAUUCUUGUCCCAAUUGUCUUAAGCCUCUCUUAAUUGUGUUUUGAACUGCAUUUUGAGUUCUUCCAAAGCCUGUGUCCAAUUCGCUGGUAUUUCUGUUUAAUUACUUGUGUCCUCCUGUGUAUUGUUUGUUAUUGGUUUGUUGCCUGUGCAGAAGCUGUCAAUUGUAAUUUAUUUCUUCUUUUCCUGUUGUUUGCUUAUAUUUACCCCUUCUUUGCUCCCCGUAUUUGUCUGUGAUCUUGCUCCUCAUUUUUUUUUGGUUUUGGGGCUUUCUGUCAGUCUCCCCUCUUGGAGCUUUGUCAGAUCUCUCAGUGCAGUCUCUGGGGGAGGAGUGUUGGAAUUUGCUCUUCCCUGUCCUCUGGAGGCUUUUGAUUGGAUUAAAGUCCAGCAGUCUGUGAGGGAGUGGUGUUACAGCCUAAGGCUUCUCUUGAGUUCUGAAGACUUUUGAUGAGAUUAAGUUCAGCUGGGUAGGCUAGGUGUGCUCUGAGACUAAAAAUAUCCUGGAAGGCUGGAGCAGUAUGGAAGAUCUCCAUGGCUCUGACCAGGCUGCCAGCUCCCUCUCCAGCUCCUUCACCGCCAUCUGUGCUUGACAAUCCAAGCUUGGCACUGCCCUGCCUCAAGGCUUGAACUCUUACAAACAUUGUUGUGUGGAACUUGAAACAAGACCAGUUCACUUCCUAGCAGAGAGCUGGCUGCUGACACCAUGCUUACUGGAUAUGACAAAGAGAUGACAAGAACUGGGACAUGGCCACAGAAGCUUGUUGGGAAACUUAUGAUGUCUUAUCAGCUUUCUAGGUGCAGGCUUGAUAUUUGUCAUUGUGCUACCCAAUCAAUAUGCCAGAUGGGUUCUUGGGAAUAAAUAAACCUCCAUUCCCAAAGA
Monodelphis domestica (gray short-tailed opossum) is the source of this 1126-nucleotide long non-coding RNA. RefSeq lists it as uncharacterized. Lineage: Eukaryota; Metazoa; Chordata; Mammalia; Didelphimorphia; Didelphidae. The record is from RefSeq and is a predicted model, not a curated record.